This 108-nucleotide ribosomal RNA is filed under the name Xenopus tropicalis (tropical clawed frog). The record is from RNAcentral. Lineage: Eukaryota; Metazoa; Chordata; Amphibia; Anura; Pipidae.
GCCUAUGGCCAUACCACCCUGAAAGCGCCUGAUCUCGGAAGCUAAGCAGGCUCGGGCCUGUUUAGUACCUGGAUGGGAGACCGCCUGGAAUACCAGGUGUUGUAGGCU